GUGCCGUUCAGCUGGUUUACAGCGGUGACGCUUUCUCGUCUCCGUGCUACUUCAGCUUUACAUUAAACGCAGGAGAUUUUCCCCAGCUGCUGACAGCCUCUGCUCUUUCGAAAUGUCCUCCUGUAACCUUCAUAUGAGGAUGUGACAGGAGGGCCGGCGGGGCAGAACACGUCCGCUUCCAUUUGUCAUAACGAAGCACUGUCAUGCAAGGUGUGUGUGUUGAAACACUUUUACAUCGGCAUGUGUUUGUCACCCUGGGACGGAUCCGUGUCCAUCCUCGGCAUUCCGUAAAGCAAGGCCAUGGCACCUCCCCAGGACACUACAAUGUCACAUCUUGAAAGAUGGUGUAAUUUGGAGGGAAUGGAUGGUUGAAUAACUUGACAAGGAAGGACAAGAAACUGAAUCGUUGUAUGUUUCGAUCUUGCGCAUUUGGGAAAUGUCUUUGCAGUGAUGCAACUAAUAACUAGGGCUGUGACAAUUCAUUUGUUUUGCCAAUACGCCGCCACCCAUUGCUUCUACAGGUGUGCUCAAACCAUUGAUUCAGUUAGAAAAGCAACUCACUGCAAUGGCCACUACUGAAAAAAAGUGCAUUUAAAUGUGCACUCAGAAAUACUGUAUUCACAGUCUUUGACAUAUCAUUAAUUCCACAUUUAUUCCAAGUGUCUGGGUAAAGCAAGUAAUAUUUGGCUGUUCAUGUAAUUUCAGUAUGUCUAUCCCCAUUAAGUAGCCUAAUGUAUGCUAAAUAAAUCUCAUGUGAAUGUACUUGAAUUUAAACAUGUAUUUUACAUGUGACCCUGGACCACAAAACCAGUCGUAAGUCACAUGGAUAUAUUUGUAGAAACAGCCAACAAUAUAUUGUAUGGGUCAAAAUUAUUGAUUUUUCUUUUAUGCCAAAAAUCAUUAGGGUAUUAAAUAAAGAUCAUGUUCCAUUAAUAUAUUUUGUAAAUUUUCUACUAUAAAUAUAUCAAAACUUUUGAUUAGUAAUAUGCAUUACAAGAACUUCAUUUGGACAACUUUAAAGGCGAUUUCCUCAAUAUUUAGAUCUUUUGCACCCUCAGAUUCCAGAUUUUCAAAUAGUUGUAUCUGAAAUAUUGUCCCAUCCUAACAAUCCAUACAUCGAUGGAAAGCUUAUUUAUUCAGCUUUCAGAUGAUGCAUAAAUCUCAAAAAAUUUACUCUUAGGACUGGUUUUGUGGUCCAGGGUCACAUAUGUGUUUUUGUGUUGCAGAGGUGGCUGUUCCAGAAUGGCUGUUGUUAAAGCUUUAGCUAAUUAGGGAAGAUAAUUUUGUAUUUUCUUUUUCUUUUCUUUUGACGAGGUUAGAUAGAGGGAUGGCUGAGAUUGGGGUUUUGUUUAUUGUUUUGGCCUUGUCGAAACCUAAAGUUUUCCCAAUUUAAUUUCUUUCAAUUAUCUUCAUUGUAAUAAACUCCAGCAAAUUAAGCCAAUGACUAAG
Long non-coding RNA from Labeo rohita (rohu), 1449 nucleotides. RefSeq lists it as uncharacterized. The transcript is spliced from 3 exons. NCBI's taxonomy places the organism in Eukaryota, Metazoa, Chordata, Actinopteri, Cypriniformes, Cyprinidae. The record is from RefSeq and is a predicted model, not a curated record.